UACGUAGGUGGCAAGCGUUAUCCGGAUUUAUUGGGUGUAAAGGGCGUGUAGGCGGGAGCGCAAGUCAGAUGUGAAAACUCAGGGCUCAACCCUGAGCCUGCAUUUGAAACUGUGUUUCUUGAGUGCUGGAGAGGCAGACGGAAUUCCUAGUGUAGCGGUGAAAUGCGUAGAUAUUAGGAGGAACACCAGUGGCGAAGGCGGUCUGCUGGACAGCAACUGACGCUGAGGCGCGAAAGCGUGGGGAGCAAACAGG
RNAcentral lists this ribosomal RNA (253 nucleotides) under uncultured bacterium. RNAcentral describes it as "partial 16S ribosomal RNA". It matches the Rfam family "Bacterial small subunit ribosomal RNA", at positions 524 to 776 of the family's 1533-position model. The record is from RNAcentral.